GACGAACGCUGGCGGCGUGCCUAAUACAUGCAAGUAGAACGCUGAAGGAGGAGCUUGCUUCUCUGGAUGAGUUGCGAACGGGUGAGUAACGCGUAGGUAACCUGCCUGGUAGCGGGGGAUAACUAUUGGAAACGAUAGCUAAUACCGCAUAAUAUUGACUAUUGCAUGAUAGUCAGUUGAAAGGUGCAACUGCACCACUACCAGAUGGACCUGCGUUGUAUUAGCUAGUUGGUGGGGUAACGGCUCACCAAGGCGACGAUACAUAGCCGACCUGAGAGGGUGAUAGGCCACACUGGGACUGAGACACGGCCCAGACUCCUACGGGAGGCAGCAGUAGGGAAUCUUCGGCAAUGGACGGAAGUCUGACCGAGCAACGCCGCGUGAGUGAAGAAGGUUUUCGGAUCGUAAAGCUCUGUUGUAAGAGAAGAACGAGUGUGAGAGUGGAAAGCUCACACUGUGACGGUAUCUUACCAGAAAGGGACGGCUAACUACGUG
This 495-nucleotide ribosomal RNA is filed under the name uncultured bacterium. RNAcentral describes it as "partial 16S ribosomal RNA". It matches the Rfam family "Bacterial small subunit ribosomal RNA", at positions 28 to 507 of the family's 1533-position model. The record is from RNAcentral.